Molecule: long non-coding RNA, 6180 nt
Filed under: Bemisia tabaci
Lineage: Eukaryota; Metazoa; Arthropoda; Insecta; Hemiptera; Aleyrodidae
Description: lncRNA ENSSSA1NGG009562
Source: RNAcentral
CAAAACCUUUUCGGCCUCUAAGCUGGGACCUCGCCAACAUAGUAGGAACUGCGAACUGCACUGGCCACUGGACCAUAUCAAGGUCUAAUGACAGAUAACCGAAUCGAGGCGUCUCAAACGUCGGUGGCAGAAAAUCACCCUGCGCCAUCAGAUCGGACGAAAAACUAACGAUAGGCAAGGUAUAAUCGAGGAAACCUGCGAGGAAAAAUACAGCGCUGCAUUGCUCUACUUCUCCGCCGCGUCGUCAUAUUUCUCUCGGAGUUUAUGGAUUUGCAGGGUUAAGUGCAACUAGAUAAGGGGGGAAUUUGGCAACAGUGGAUUUUGUGACCGACGUUUGCGCCACCAUCAUCAUGCUUUUCUAUGGCGGGUCACAGUGACCCACCAGCCGAGUGGGCGAGAAAACUUCGCCGCUUCGAGACAGUUUCCCGAGUUCAUUGUCAGUAGUGCAAAUCUCACUCAGUGAUGCAUUUGAAGGUCCUUUUCGCGUUGGUGAUUUUGUUUGCCGUUAGGUUCCGGGCGGCGGCGACCUCCUCGAGCGACGAGCGGACGAGAGAGCGGCAGAACGGAUUCAAAGGGAAGAACUACCCUCUUGGGGCGCCCAAUUCCAACUCGCGGAAGCUCCAACGCGAGGAGUCGACCAGCGGAGAGAGCGAGGAGAACGAGAAAGACACCCGUGACCGGGCCCAACUCCCGGCCCCUGCUCACUCGCACAGGGGUCACCGACACCCCCUUGGGCCCGCCGGCGCUGGGGGAGGUGUAGGAGGAGGCGGAGGGGGUGGCGCCCCUUUCUCCCAGUAUAGCUACGGAUACUCGAUCCCCGACCAUGAGUUCGACCACAACCAGAAUCAAGGCCGGUACCAUAAUGAGGGUGCGCAAAACUACCAGCGGCCGACCCCACCUCAGCAUUUCUUCCACCACAGCCCUUACGACCGGUUCCAGCAGUACGACUACGACGCGGAGCGAGAGCGGGCGGCCAAGUCGGGACCUGAAGCACCGCCACCCCCGCGGGCCCACCAACCCCACCCCCACCAGGGCCACCAGGGCGUCCCUGCCUUGCGGCACGUGAUCCCGGUGGCGCGGCUGGCGUCGCCGUUCCCGUACCCGCUGGGCUACUCGCCGCCGGUGACGCCCUUCGGGUUCCUCCCCCACUUGGCGCCCCCGAUCACCUACCUGGCCCAGCCGACGCCCGUCAUCUCCCAGUCCGUCCCGGCCGUCGUCGCCUCCGCCACGCACGGCGCCCAGAUCGCCCUCCCCGUCGCCCACGCCGGCGUCGCUGACGUCCCCUACCACGUCACCACCGCCGGGGACGAGACCCAGCUCCAAGCCCACCAACAGUGAGCGUCGUGCGAGGAUAAAACUUCCGGUACACAUUGAGAAAAAUUAGGUUUUGAUGUUACCGGAGUAGUCAUAUUGAUACAGCUUUCCCGGGACUUCAAGAGGAAACAUUGCUGAUAGUCCGAUAUUUACCUGACUUACAAUGGAGACGUUGCAUGUGUGAGGAAUUUCCGAUUUGACAAUUGAUUCAUACGUGAAAGUUCGCGAGAAACACGAUGGUGCCACUGGUUUUCUCUGAAAUCAACUCCCAAACUCAGAAAAAGCUCUCAAGUUGAGGCCAAAAUGGAGGGGAUAUCCCACGCUAUCCCGAGAGUCCACCUCUACAUCAAGACAAACUCUCCAUGCAAAGAUAGGGAGCAAAUACAUUGACAGGGCUGCCACUUUAUUUGGAGACCCCAAAGUGAAAUCACGGCAACCCUGUCAAUGUAUUAGCUCCCUAUCUUUGCACGGAGAGUUUGUCUUGAUGUAAAGGUGGACUCUCAGGAUAGCGUGGGAUAUCCCCUCCAUUUUGGCUUCAACUUGAGACAUUUUUUUGAGCUUAGGAGUUGAUUUCAGAGAAAACCAGUGGCACCAUCGUGUUUCUCGCGAACUUUUACAUAAGAAUCAAUUGUCAAAUCGCAAAUUCCUCACACAUGCAACAUCUCCAUUAGAAGAACUCGGUCAUCAACGGUGUAAUGAAGCUAGCAACGUUUCAUCGUGGUAAUAGGAAAUCUGCUGGCAUGAAAUGGAAACGGUAUUAACCCUCUAUGGCAAAGCGUUGCGAAUUCGUAACUGUUUCGGGUUUUUAAAAAUUAAAUCUUUCCUCUGCGGCAUGAUUUUGCAAAUUUUCAUUAGUUUUUCUUUUUUUGAACAACUAAUUCCCAAAAAUUCAAAAUUUUGAAAAAAAAUUGGUACUCUAUGUUUUCAUACUGGCUAUAUGCUACAAAAUAGAUUAGUGUCCCCCAGAAUCUAAGAUCCAAAAUUAAUUCAUGCCAUGGAGGGUAGUCCAAACUUUCUAAGUACCUCAACCAUUAUUCGAGUUAUAUAAAUACGUAAACCAAUCAAAUGAAUUCUUACGAGGGAAUCGUUAAAAGUUACGACUUAAUCCUCUGAAUCGAAAUUUAGCUUGGGGGUCAAGACAAUUUGUCUCAUUGUCAGUGCAAGAUAGGAUUUUAUCUUCAGUACUUCGUAAGGAACGACGAAGUUUUAAGUCCAUACAACCAACAUUCCAGUCGUAAAAUCGAACCUAGGUUCAGAUAUCCUAAGUUUUCGAUGCAUAACGAGCCUAGAAAAGACGAGCAGAAACUCUAGUUACAUGCGCUAAAACCCACAACCUUCAACCGAAUAGUUCGGUUACCUGGACUGAAAACUGGUAUUUCAUACGGACUAAAGUUUCAUUUUAUUUUAUGGUUUUUUUUUUUCGAAUAAACCGUAGAAUGUGUCAUAGCUGUAACACAUCACAAAAAGCCGUGCAAAAUCCAUGCCUCAAAUAUAUAAUCCACUGUGGUUUUUGGGAGGUUUCAAUACUUUAGGGGAGGGGGGUGUGUGUCCAACUUUCAAUGUUGAUCCAACUCUGGUUAUAGGCUGAUAGUUAUACGGUUUGAAAUAUUGUAAAUGAAUGUUGCUUCAUACGAACCGUAUUUUUCUUUUUGGGUAAUAAAAAAUUUUCAAAUAAGAAAAAACAACUUAAUUUUACGUCAAUUAAACACUAAUCAAUGGGGCACGUCCAAUUUAAGGGCUAGCGAAGACAAGCUAUGCGGGCAUUUCUUGUUAAUCGAGACAAACAGAGCAGAUCCUCCCUUCGUUUAAAAAAAUGAACGAAUCAAUACUUAAAAAUGUGAUAAAACUUGACUACAAAAGUUUCAAAGGAUUUACGUAAACACACUUGCACUUAAAAGCACUGCGUUAUCCUUUAAAGGCCAAAACAGAAUCCCAAUCAAUUCACCAGCCGCGUCUAGGGUGUAGAUAAAAGGAUAAAUACAUUCAUCUCGCUCUGUUAACUCCAAACUCAGCUUGAACCGGAGGGCACGAGGCCAUUGAUAAGCUAAAAUGACUGAUUGUUCUCAACUUGAACCAGCAUCGCAAAACAUUGUAGCGACUUCCAAUAGAGGAAGCAAGAAGCCGUGAGAACGGCAGGCGUUCCUAAACAGCGUUCCGGAGCGGAAUUUCUUCGAUGAAAUUUCAUAUUUUGCAAGGCGCGUUUCAGGGCGGCGAAGAGUGAGUGUGAACUGUAACGAAACGAGGAACCGCUGCUGCGUAUAUCAUUAGUUUUUAUUAGCGCGGUUACGCGCGGACGCCGAACAUCCGCCGAACUCCCCGUCGCACAGUGCACUAAAUCAUCGGGAGUAGGUUUUUUUUUUUUUUUUUUUUUUUUUUUUUUUAAUGAUUCUUACCCAUGGUGGUGACAAAAAUGAGUUCGUUCACACCCCAAUCUAUUCGAGGCACGAGAGAAAGCGAUCGGGAGAAGUUGAACGUAACAUUUUUGACUGAACUGCAAAUUUUAAUGUUUAUUUCGUCACCCUAUGACUCACAAAGAAUGUUUAUUCAAUUGUGACAAUGUUGAUCAACCAAUAUUAAUAAAAAUGGUAACUGGAGAUAAUUUUUAGCGUCCUUUUCAUUUUUGACCUCCAAAGAAAGGAAAACUCAUUUUGAGGGAGGUUUGCGGAGGUAUUGAACCUAAAUGAGGCCAAAAUUAUUGUUUUUAGCGACAAAAAUUGAUUUUGAUGGCACCACUUCAUUCAGCGUUGAAAAAUAUUGAGAAAAUGUCCCUUACGGUUUUUCGUAUGACUCAUUGUUUUUUAUAUAAUGGAGACCAUAAUAGGGACUAUACUGGAGAGAUAAUAGGGAAUAACAGGGAAAUCCCCAGGGAAAGCGUUUUGGGAAAUAAAGUUUUACCACAAAAACUUUUUUUUUUGACCCAAAGAAUUGACUCCAUCAAUAUUCCUGAUUAAUACUGGGACACCCUGUAUUCUUUUACCCUCAGUUAUAAAUCCUCUGGAUCGUUUGUAAGAAUCCAGUUCCAAAGUAUACUGCUGAAUUUUAUGUUCAAGGCUUCCUUACAACUCCCUUAAUCCCGAUGCAAACCAUGUAUAACCAUGUCAACCAUAUAAACUAUGUGCAACCAUGUAAUAAGAAAAGGAUCCGUUUAAGGAACGACUAUAAAUCUAAGUUUCGUUUUAACGAAGAUCUGAGCUUUUAAAACUUCCAAAUCAUGUCCUAUCUCUUUCAUUGCCUUUUCACUGUGCGUCGGCCCGCGCCCAGUACGCGAUUCGGUCGCGAGGUGGCGCGCGCGUCGUCGCGUCGCGCGGCCAACGAUCCAAAGGUAAAAGCACUUAUCUUUCGCCACGCUGAGAUAUGAUAUUCGGUAAUGGGUCUUACUCAAACCCCGGCCGGGCGCCGAAUCGCAAAUCCCUCGAUUAGAUAAUCGCAAUUAGAGUCGCCCUCAUGAGAAAAUUGCGGACCGUUGCACUGCGUUGCCCCCGGCGACGCUCUCGCUACGUCAAAGUAUCGGUGCAGCUUCGGCAUUCCUUCAUACUGUCGUCGAACUAGGGAGAACCGUAAGUGGAAAUAAGAAGUCGAGAAAAAGGGAACUUAGGGUGCGGUACUUCAAAACCCAUUUCAAGCAAUUUCUUAACUUAGAAAGCCCCAUCCCCAUGAGGCAUGUUCGAUUAACGAUUAUCUAUAAGAAAUCGGAAAAUCGAUGAUCAGUAAUCGAAACAUGAAGCUAGUCGAUCAAGCGCUUAGUUGGCGGCGAUAUAUUCGAUUAAUUGAUAAUCGGUAGUUCAUUGAUUUUUUUCGAAAUUUGCUAAAAGUAGCCAGUUUGAAAACUAAAAUAGCUGGAAUUUUGGAUGAAUUCGCGCGAAAAACGUUAUUAAGCAUGACCUCAAAUUUCCGAUUAAUCGAAAACUGAGAAUUGAUUAGACUCAAACAGAUAACUGUUAAACGAAAGGCUCUAUUAAUGGAUUAAUCGAUUACUAAUAGAUAAUCGGAACAUGCCUCCUUCACGUUCUUACGUGGUGAUUAAGGGAAGUUUGAGGAUGCUCUUAUCAAAGUAUCAUAAAAAGGUCAAUUUUUACGAAUUUCACAUGAAAUGUACUAAAUUUUUAUUAAAGAUACGUGUAAAAUCGGGCUUUCCUACCAAAUAUAUUCAAUUUAGGUACUUUAGUACAGAAAGACACUAAUGGGCGUAGAGUUGUUCCUGAAAUGAGCCAGAAAUACUACUCAAUUACACACCGCAAAGUGAAGUCCGCACUUGACCGUCAUUGGCGGGUAAUUUUAUACGAUGCUUUAUCUUCGAUUUGUGCGAAAGGUUUUUUUACGAAAAAGUAUAUUUGUAGUUUAGAAGAAUAUUUGGAUUAUUUUAAUAUUAUUUUUUAAUUUGCAGCGCAAUGUGUCUAUGCGCUUACAGUUAGAGUAACGUGUUGUAAGGUUGUUUUGAUUUGUUACGCAACAUUAUUUCAUUGAAUGUAGUUUAAGUGUAUUUUUUAAGUUAAAAUUCCUGUGAUAAAUACAUUUUCGAGUACUUAAGACCAAUUUUACCACCAGUUUUUUCCUUCAUUUGAUGUAAACAUCAAGUGCCUGGGCGUUCCAGGGUGAUAUGAUCGGGCAUAACCUCUGGGGCCGAAUUUUGUCGGCUUUUUCACACGGAGUGCAAAAGCCAUCGAUGUGUUCAAACCGCACCACCGGCCAAUCAGAAGCGCGAAGCCGGCGACUUAAGUGCAGUCGAGACCCGUUCUAAGUGAACAUAUACAGUACAUACGGUGUACGGCUGUAUAAGUACGGUGGAAGGACCGACAAAAUUCGGCCCUGGAGUAAUCUUUCCUCUUCUUCUGCCGUGCUAAGGAAGAACGCCGUAUGAGCCUUCAG